Small nuclear RNA from Lepisosteus oculatus (spotted gar), 138 nucleotides. Ensembl annotates it as RNA, U11 small nuclear 3, pseudogene. Its record names the gene RNU11-3P. The record is from Ensembl. NCBI's taxonomy places the organism in Eukaryota, Metazoa, Chordata, Actinopteri, Semionotiformes, Lepisosteidae.
AAAAAGGGCUUGUGCUGUGAAUUGCACAGGGACGGGGUGGGGAUCUCGCCCCGUCUCUGCGGAAUCGAUAUCAAGAGAUUUCGGAAGCACAAUUUUUGUGAUUUUGGGCUGCUGAUGAUCGUUAUUCUUGGCGCCCUA